RNAcentral lists this ribosomal RNA (493 nucleotides) under uncultured bacterium. RNAcentral describes it as "partial 16S ribosomal RNA". It matches the Rfam family "Bacterial small subunit ribosomal RNA", at positions 28 to 506 of the family's 1533-position model. The record is from RNAcentral.
GACGAACGCUGGCGGCGCGCUUAACACAUGCAAGUCGAACGGAAAGGCCUGCUUUCCCUUGUGGAUUGCGGGUACUCGAGUGGCGAACGGGUGAGUAACACGUGAGUGAUCUGCCCCCAACUUGGGUAUAAGCCUGGGAAACUGGGUCUAAUUCCCGAUAGGACUGCAGGGUGGUGCCUGUGGUGGAAAACGAUUUUCUAGUGGUUGGGGAUGAGCUCGCGGCCUAUCAGCUUGUUGGUGGGGUAAUGGCCUACCAAGGCGGCGACGGGUAGCCGGCCUGAGAGGGUGGACGGCCACAUUGGGACUGAGAUACGGCCCAGACUCCUACGGGAGGCAGCAGUGGGGAAUAGUGCACAAUGGGCGGAAGCCUGAUGCAGCGACGCCGCGUGGGGGAUGACGGCCUUCGGGGUGUAAACUCCUUUCGACCGCGAGGAAGCCACCUGGUGGGAAGGGUGGUGACGGUAGUGGUAGAAGAAACACCGGCUAACUACGU